GACGAACGCUGGCGGCGUGCUUAACACAUGCAAGUCGAACGGAAAGGCCCUGCUUUUGUGGGGUGCUCGAGUGGCGAACGGGUGAGUAACACGUGAGUAACCUGCCCUUUACUUUGGGAUAACUGCAGGAAACGGGGGCUAAUACCGGAUAUGAGCUCCUGCUGCAUGGUGGGGGUUGGAAAGUUUCGGCGGUUGGGGAUGUACUCGCGGCUGAUCAGCUUGUUGGUGGGGUAGUGGCUUACCAAGGCUUUGACGGGUAGCCGGCCUGAGAGGGUGACCGGCCACAUUGGGAAUGAGACACGGCCCAGACGCAUACGGGAGGCAGGAGUGGGGAAUAUUGCACAAUGGGCGGAAGCCUGAUGCAGCAACGCCGGGUGCGGGAUGACGGCCUUCGGGUUGUAAACCGCUUUCGCCUGUGACGAAGCGUGAGUGACGGUAAUGGGUAAAGAAGCACCGGCUAACUACGUG
RNAcentral lists this ribosomal RNA (468 nucleotides) under uncultured bacterium. Its description in RNAcentral is "partial 16S ribosomal RNA". It matches the Rfam family "Bacterial small subunit ribosomal RNA", at positions 28 to 507 of the family's 1533-position model. The record is from RNAcentral.